Long non-coding RNA from Hyla sarda, 541 nucleotides. RefSeq lists it as uncharacterized. The transcript is spliced from 3 exons. Lineage: Eukaryota; Metazoa; Chordata; Amphibia; Anura; Hylidae. The record is from RefSeq and is a predicted model, not a curated record.
GCCAGACAGCAGGUCUUGGAUGAUGAUGGAGGCGAAGCUGCCAGGUCCUGUGAUAGGGUCACUGUCUGACUGUGCUACUGACACAGCACAGUCACCACUGACUGGAGCCGGCUGAGGAUAGAGGAGGCUGAGAAGCGCAUGCACGCUCCACACACAGCGCUCCUCUUUGGCACGGACCGGACACCCUACCUCAUCACUUUACCGCCGCAUUCGCCAGCCAGACUGACAGGGCAGAGCUGCGGUGCUGCAAGAUGGGGAGAGACUGGAUAGUGCACUAGCACAGAUUCAGUGAAGACGAGCCGUGGAUGGAGAAUUCUUUAAGAUAUCCUGAUCCAGAUGAGGAAUAAAAAGAAAAGUGACUCAACUUCUAUAUGAGCACUGUAGAACAUGAAAAUAUGAUUGGAUGGAGGAGGAGGAACAUCUCAUCUGUUUGAAAAUUGUUUAGAGAAGCGUUUUAUAUGCUGUGAUUGUUUAACAUAGUGUUUCUUUGUGUCAGGGGGAGUGUUACUAUAUUACUUUUAUGAAUAAAAAGAUUUUUUUG